Molecule: long non-coding RNA, 445 nt
Organism: Peromyscus maniculatus bairdii (prairie deer mouse)
Lineage: Eukaryota; Metazoa; Chordata; Mammalia; Rodentia; Cricetidae
Source: RefSeq, a predicted model, not a curated record
ACAUGAACUUGAGUGGUUUUGUAAUGUUUGCUCCCAAAACUAGUUGUUUACAAAAUGUUACAAGGAUCCUGAAAUUUGUUGUUAAGAUUAAACACUGAAAUAAAGUAGUUGCUUAUUUGUUUUCAAGCCACCUGUUCAUAAAGAUGGUUAAUGGAUGGAUAGGAGUGAUUUCAGGGAGAGAUUUUUUUAAAAGCCUGCACUGGAAAAAUGAGACCUUUGCCUCGGAGGUGGCAAGCAAAACGUCAAGAUCUCCUGAUGGUCAUGGCAGUGAGACCUGACCCUCCUCUAGUGUCUACAGUCCCUUUGUAAAUAGCUCUGUGGUAUGCCAGUGGUCAGCUCUGACAUCACCUGGACUACAUGCAGCAUUUUGAUUGACAUCUUUCAUUACAUCUUGGACCACACUUCACUGUUCCAGAAAGCAUCUCAGGGAAGAUGAUCCUUUUUU